GAUGAACGCUGGCGGCGUGCCUAAUACAUGCAAGUCGAGCGAACAGACGAGGAGCUUGCUCCUCUGACGUUAGCGGCGGACGGGUGAGUAACACGUGGAUAACCUACCUAUAAGACUGGGAUAACUUCGGGAAACCGGAGCUAAUACCGGAUAAUAUAUUGAACCGCAUGGUUCAAUAGUGAAAGACGGUUUUGCUGUCACUUAUAGAUGGAACCGCGCCGCAUUAGCUAGUUGGUAAGGUAACGGCUUACCAAGGCAACGAUGCGUAGCCGACCUGAGAGGGUGAUCGGCCACACUGGAACUGAGACACGGUCCAGACUCCUACGGGAGGCAGCAGUAGGGAAGCUUCCGCAAUGGGCGAAAGCCUGACGGAGCAACGCCGCGUGAGUGAUGAAGGUCUUCGGAUCGUAAAACUCUGUUAUUAGGGAAGAACAAAUGUGUAAGUAACUAUGCACGUCUGGACGGUACCUAAGCAGAAAGCCACGGCUAACUACGU
RNAcentral lists this ribosomal RNA (496 nucleotides) under uncultured bacterium. Its description in RNAcentral is "partial 16S ribosomal RNA". It matches the Rfam family "Bacterial small subunit ribosomal RNA", at positions 28 to 506 of the family's 1533-position model. The record is from RNAcentral.